UCGCGACGGUUGUAACGGGCUCGAGGAGAGUACCGGGUCAUGACAAAAGGAAAAAAGGAGAAAGGAGGAAAUGCUUGCAAAAGGCUCAGCUUUGGAGGGACUAGAGAAAAUCGAGAGGUUUUCUUCCCCACCCACAUGCCAUUGUUGAAGUUUAGAGAGAUUUGGUGGUUCGGUUUAGAAAUUCCAAGCAAGAACCUUCAAGGAUUCAAGGAACCCGGGGCAUGCAUGUAGAUAGAUCUUGGAAUACAUGGUGAUUUUGGAGCUAAAUUGACAAUGGCAAUGGUGGCUGAGAGUGUGAAUAAAUUGUGAACUAUGUGUAUGGAACUCAAGCUAAAACUGAAAGGUGAGCAUGCAAUGUCAGUAUAGUAUAUUGUGUUGGCUUUGGUUGGUUGGAAGUGUGUGGGUUGUGUGUUAUAUGAUUGUGAAUAAGGUUGAUGAAAAUUAUGAAAUUGGUUAAGGAUUUAUUCGGUGAUAUGCUACCAUGCAUAUGAAUAAAUAAGUAUAUUGGGUUUGCAUUGUUGCUAGGAAGUGUGUAAGUGAGGAAAGUGUGCAGUGGUCGCGUGCCGGAGGAAGUGAAGGGUGAUCGGCAAGUAAAAUUAGUUAGAUACGCACUUGAAUCAAUAGCGACAUAAUAUCCCACCAUUGUAAGAUAGUGAUCAGCCAUGCGUGCAAUCAUCGACACUUAUGGUCCACCACAGAUAGGUAAAGGCAUCUCAUAACACUUUAUUCCGAGUCGCUCCACUACUAGAGGUCAAGUCAUUUAUAGCUUGAUGUAUUUGUAAAAUGUGUCAAUGUAAAUCUGCAGUUAGUUACUAUAGACUUUAAUGUAUUCUUACGAUUAUGGUGGAUAAAGGAUAAGAUGGUUUAAUAUGAUUUAUGUUCAAUUCUUAUUACAAAGAGGUAUAUGGUUCAAAGUAAUUUCAUGGAUUGAUGGCAUAUUAACUAAAGUUUCAAUCAAGGCUUGUUCGGGACUUGACGAUUUCCUCCGCAAAACUCGAACGCCGGUAGCGAUUGAGGAGCCGUCAUUACACAAGGUCCUGACUUGUGAAUACUUCUACAAAGUAAUAGCACUUCCACAUUCUUGCAAUGACUUGGGAGAACUUUCUUAAUUAUUUUUGCAUACAAUUAUUCUCUCACGUUCAAUUACAAGUCAUUAAAUAGUUAAACAAUGCAAUUUCUAGUAAAAUAGGCAAAUAAAAACUACCUUAGAAUAAAGAAGUGAAGGCUCUUUUAUCACAAAUCUUUGAGAGUUUGCUA
Theobroma cacao (cacao) is the source of this 1257-nucleotide non-coding RNA. The record is from RefSeq and is a predicted model, not a curated record. Lineage: Eukaryota; Viridiplantae; Streptophyta; Magnoliopsida; Malvales; Malvaceae.